Molecule: ribosomal RNA, 459 nt
Filed under: uncultured bacterium
Lineage: Bacteria
Description: partial 16S ribosomal RNA
Rfam family: Bacterial small subunit ribosomal RNA
Source: RNAcentral
CUACGGGGUGCUCCAGUAAGGAAUAUUGCGCAAUGGAGGCAACUCUGACGCAGCCAUGCCGCGUGCAGGAAGAAGGCCUUAUGGGUCGUAAACUGCUUUUAUUUAGGAAUAAACCCUCGCUCGUGAGCGAGGCUGAAGGUACUGAAUGAAUAAGCACCGGCUAACUCCGUGCCAGCAGCCGCGGUAAUACGGAGGGUGCAAGCGUUAUCCGGAUUUAUUGGGUUUAAAGGGUGCGCAGGCGGGCUAUUAAGUCAGUGGUGAAAUCCCGGGGCUCAACUCCGGAACUGCCAUUGAUACUGAUAGUCUUGAGUUUGGUUGAAGUGGGCGGAAUGUAGCAUGUAGCGGUGAAAUGCAUAGAUAUGCUACAGAACACCAAUCGCGAAGGCAGCUCACUAAGCCAAAACUGACGCUCAUGCACGAAAGCGUGGGGAUCAAACAGGAUUAGAUACCCGGGUAGUC